GCCGUGUGGGACCAUUUUGAUGUCCUGGAGAAUAAGGUGAAAUGUCGAAUUUGCCAAGUCGAAUUGUCAUACACCAACAGAAGCACCUCCACCAUGCUGAGGCAUUAUCGGGCCAAGCAUGAGAAUGAAGUUCGCGAUACACCCAGUAUUACGCCAGGUUCCAGGAAGCAGCUGUACUGGAAGGACCAACACACUUCUUUCCCAAACCUCUCCCACCUCGCAAAGGAGUUCCUUUGUACGCCAGCCUCAUCCGUCCCUUGUGAGCGUGUGUUCUCCACAGCAGGAGAAAUCGCUUGUAAAAGACGCAACAGGCUGAAGUUUAAAACAUUGGAGCAUCUUAUUUUUCUCAAUAAAAAUUUGUGAAA
This is a long non-coding RNA of Hippocampus zosterae (dwarf seahorse), 365 nucleotides long. RefSeq lists it as uncharacterized. The transcript is spliced from 3 exons. NCBI's taxonomy places the organism in Eukaryota, Metazoa, Chordata, Actinopteri, Syngnathiformes, Syngnathidae. The record is from RefSeq and is a predicted model, not a curated record.